Molecule: ribosomal RNA, 460 nt
Filed under: uncultured bacterium
Lineage: Bacteria
Description: partial 16S ribosomal RNA
Rfam family: Bacterial small subunit ribosomal RNA
Source: RNAcentral
ACUACGGGAGGCAGCAGUGAGGAAUAUUGGUCAAUGGACGAGAGUCUGAACCAGCCAAGUAGCGUGAAGGAUGACUGCCCUAUGGGUUGUAAACUUCUUUUAUAUGGGAAUAAAAUGUUCCACGUGUGGGAUUUUGUAUGUACCAUAUGACUCAGGAUCGGCUAACUCCGUGCCAGCAGCCGCGGUAAUACGGGGGCUCCGAGCGUUAGCCGGAUUUGUUGGGGUUAAAGGGAGCGUAGGUGGAUUGUUAAGUCAGUUGUGAACGUUAGCGGCUCAACCGGAAAAUUGCAGUUGAAACUGGCAGUCUGGAGUGAAGUAGAGGUGGGCGGAAUUCGGGGUGUAGCGGUGAAAUGCGUAGAUAUCACGAAGAACUCCGAUUGCGAAGGCAGCUCACUGGACUGCAACUGACACUGAGGCUCGAAAGUGUGGGUAUCAAACAGGAUUAGAUACCCCAGUAGUC